Molecule: long non-coding RNA, 334 nt
Organism: Thalassophryne amazonica
Lineage: Eukaryota; Metazoa; Chordata; Actinopteri; Batrachoidiformes; Batrachoididae
Exons: 3
Source: RefSeq, a predicted model, not a curated record
AAGAAAAAAAAUAGAAUUAAGAAGCUCAACAUAGUUUUAUGUAAGAAGUACGUCAGUGCUACACCAGUCGACUACAUAUUUUAUCUGACUGACUCAGACUAUCAAAGACAAAGAAGCCUUUGUUUUGAUGAUAGAAAUGGAUACAGAAUGUACCCAAAAAGAUCUUGCAUUUUUUUUAAAGGCUCAACAGCUGCACUUGUCUCAUGCUGACUGGGCAAGAGUGUGGGCGUAUCAGUAGGUUGAGUUUAUUUUUAAAAUUCUAGGCCAGGGGUGGGCAAUAGUGUGCCAUGAAGGGCCAAGAUGGGGCAGGAUUUCCUUGCAAUCUUUAUUGAUG